Long non-coding RNA from Erinaceus europaeus (western European hedgehog), 4879 nucleotides. RefSeq lists it as uncharacterized. The transcript is spliced from 3 exons. NCBI's taxonomy places the organism in Eukaryota, Metazoa, Chordata, Mammalia, Eulipotyphla, Erinaceidae. The record is from RefSeq and is a predicted model, not a curated record.
CAGGCUGAGGCACCGCUUCCCGGAGCUCCGACGUGUUGAAGAACAUGUACACGCUGUGCGGGCUUUGCUUGAAUUUGCUGUAGAUGCCUAGAGGAGUGGAGACGUGGAAGUCAGGACUUCAGCAGGGUCUAGGGAGCAGCCCUACACCCCUGCUAUUAAGAGUGGAGGCUCCAGGGUUGACAGGCCUGGCUUGGACACAGAGACAAAGGGGAGAGGGAGAGAUAGAAGGACAUCACAGCACCAAAGAUUCAUCAAGUAUAAUGGUGGCCAACCUUGUAACCUGAGCGGUAUGCACCACAACGCAGGUACACUAUCCAGGUGAGAUAACUUGCUAGCUCUAACUAGCUUUUCCUUUAUUAUCAUGAGUGUUUGGAUGGCCCAGAAGGUGGUGUAGUAGAUAAAACAGUGGACUCUCAAGUAUGAGGUCCUGAGUUUGAUCCCCAGCAUUGCCUGUGCCAGAAUGAUGUUCUGGCCCUCUAUCUCUAAAUAAGGGUACAACUGGUGUGUAUUUAAAAAUAAAAGGAAAAGUGCUUAGGCUGGGGAGAUAGCAUAAUGGUUCUGCAAAAAGACUUUCAUGCCUGAGGCCUGAGGUUCUAGGUUCAAUCUCCAGCAUCACCAUAAACCAGAGCUGAGCAGUGCUCUAGUAAAAAAAAAAGAAAGUGUGCUUUGGGGUGUAUGUGUGUGUGUUUACGGUUUAGUUAUUCUAUGAGAGGCCAGGGACUGCUCAUCUCUGGAUGAUGGUGGUGCUGGGGAUUGAACCUAGGAUCUCUGAGCCUCAGGUAUGAGAGUCUUUGCAGAACUACUAUGCCAUCUCCCCUGCCUAGCCCCUGUUUCUUCAAUCUCCCACCUCUGUGACCCUGGGCCAGUCACACUCCCUCUCAGGGCCUGUUUCCUGUUAUUCUUUGAGAAACUGCAAGGACAUGUGGCUCGCUUGCCUUCCUCCCUACUGCACUGUGUAACUGGGCAAGUGAAAAUUCCUGUGCCUGGGCCAGACUCACAUCUGCCAAAUAAGGAGCAGCUUCCAGCAAGAUCACCUGUGAGAGGAGUGAAGAGAGGCAGGUGGAGUUUGACACCUAGGAGGCAUGCUGGGGACAGUUGUGUGUAUGUUAAACGCACUCCAUGUGUGUCUGGCACUAUUCAAAGCACCGUUCCAAGGCUAAGAUAUUCGGACUGAGCUGGGGAGAUAGCAUAGUGGUUCUGAAAAAAACUUUCAUUUUAGAGGCUGUGAGGCCCCAGGUUCCAUCCCCAGCACCACCAUAUACCAGAGCUGAGCAUGUGUCUGUCUUUUUUUUCUCUCUCUCAUUAAAUAAAUAUUUUUACAAAACAUUUGUACAAAAAAGACACUUAGACUUGGGCUAGGGAGAAAGCACAGUGUAGUUAAAAAGACCUUCAAGUCUCAGGUCCCAGGUUCAAUUCCUAGUACCACCAUAAUCCAGAGUUGAGCAAUGUUCUAGGGGGGAAAAAAGUCAUCCCCUGAAGAAAAUCAUCACAUUUACUGCAUAGUUGGGUCAACUCAGGCACAGAGCGAUUAAACAAUGUGUCCCGAUGUCACACGGCUCAGAUGCUACGCUCAGAGCUUAGGAACAGAGGCUCAGCCUGGGGGCCCCACUGGUGGUAGCUCAAUGGUAGGACCUAACAAAUGGUGGAGCAGUGUUGAUGUCUCUCCUACAUGUCUCUCAUAUAAAAAACAAACAAAAAAGGCCAUCACUAAUGUUGUAGGUGUGCAAGCACUAUCCCUAGCAAUAAUUUUGGUGGAAAAAAGGAAAAAAGAAAAAGAAAAGAAAUUCAAGGGCUGGGGGAGACAGGCAACAGUGUUUCUGCAAAUGACUCUCAUGCCUGAGGCUCUGAGGUUCCAGGUUCAAUCCCCAGCACCACCAUAAACCAGAGGUGAGCACUGCUUGGGUAAAAUAAAUGUCAUAUAUACAUAUACAUAUACAUAUACAUAUACAUAUACAUAUACAUAUACAUAUACAUAUACAUAUACAUAUACAUAUAUCCUCAACUUACUAACAUUACUUCUCUUGGCAAGAAUCUUGCAUUUUAUUUCAGUGUCAGCAGGCUGGCUGUGGACUCUUCCAGCUCCACCACAGUGACAUUUCUGGAGCAUUUCUUUCUUUUCUUUUCUUUCUUUCUUUUUUUUAAGAACCAGAUAUCACUCUGGUACCUGUGCUGUUGGGGAUUGAACUCAGGACCUCAUGCUUGAGAGUCUAGUGCCUUAGCCACUGCACCACCUCCCGGGCCACAUUUCUUUCUUUUCUUCUUUGCUUUUUAAAACAUUUUUCUUUUCUUUGUCAUUUUAUUUUUUUUUAAUUUUUUUUUAAAUCAGUCUCCAUAGAGACUGUCAAAAAUUGCCAAUGCUGACUGUAUUUCAAGUCGUCAUGGAGGGAUAUUGGGAAAAGUUUUCAAUUAGCAAUAAUCGCGCCUCGGAUAAACCUCUCUGGCUGCAAUACUGCCACUGCACAAAGCGAAAUUUUAUUGAUUUUUUAAUUUUGGAUAGACACAGAGAAACUGAGGGAAGUGGGAGACAGAAAGAAGAAGGAGGAAGGAGGAGGAGGAGGAGAAGGAGAAGAAUAAAGUGGUAGCGGUAGUAAUAGCAGUAGUAGUAGAUAGUAGAGACCUCGGCCUGCAGCACUGCUUCAUUACUCAAGGAGCUUACAGGUGGGGACGAGGGACUUAAACCCAGGUCCUUGCAUAUGGUAAUGUGGUACAGCAUUGCUUUUUGCUCUACAAUAUAACCUUCCCUGUAGAUCCCAAUGUGUGUGGUCAAAGGCUUUUUUUUUUUUUUUGCCAGAGUACUGCUCAGGUCUGGCAUGUUAUCUCCCUGGCCCCAUUCCAUGCCUUCCUCUAUUUACUUAUUAUUUAUCUAUUUUAAUGAAAGAGAGAAAGAGAGGCCAGCUAUGGCUUAUGGUGGUCCUGGGGACUGACCUGAGACCUCAGAGCCUUAGACAUGAAAGUCUUCUUGCAGAAACAUUAUGCUGUCUCCCCAACCCCACUCCAAGCUUUCUAAAAGACAUACAGGACAGGCAACAGGUGCCUCUCUUUCUCGCUGUGGUCGUCUUAGCGAUUUGCUGGAAAAUGGUGGUUCAAGUAGAAGAGAAGCUCAAAGACCAUGCUAAUUUAACUCCUAGACUCUGCUGUCCACUUGCUAAGAAGAAACUAUGAGCCUUACUAUUAUUUGUUUCCUUCCUUAAUUUUCCCCCUCAGUGGGUUAAAGAAAGCCAUGUUCACUCUAGACAGGAAUGGCUGGGGGGAGGGUAGUUGAGGAAAAAAAUGAGAAAGGCAUUUUGCUUGUUUGUUUUUGGUACAGAGAGAGGGGGGAGGAAAUCACAGUACUAGAGCUUCCUCUAAUGUGGUGGGGGCUGGGCUACAACCUGGGUUGCACACAUGGCCAAGAAGCACACUGUCCAAGCAAGCUAUUUUGCCAGCCCAGGGCAGUUCUGCAGCCUGGGGGAAAGUGCAGAAUUGUUAGGCUAGAGGUGAAAAACUCUGGAUUAACCAGAUUGCUAUUUUAGGCCUCUGGAAAGAGGGGUAGGGGGAGAAAGAGGGCAUGCCUCAAAUUCUGAGCUGGUAUCUGAAGUGAGGGACAAGAGGAAACCCCUCUGGGGGGGACUUCUCCUAUUCCCCUCAACUUUGGUUACAACCCCACUACAAAAAAAAAAAAAACACAAAAAAAAAACCCUAUCUUGUCCCAGCGGAAACUCGACACCCCCCAGAGGAAGAGUCAAACCCGGGUGGGGUGGAGGAGGGGACAGAUAGAGAGAAGGGAGGGGCAGAAGAGGCUGGAGGGAAAGAUGGAGGAACUGAGUAGACAGGUAUAGAGUAGAGGAGGAAGGCAGGAAGGAAGGAAGGAAGGAAGGAAUGGAGGAAGGAAGGAAGGGAGGAGUGGUGAGGGAUGGAGUGAGGAAGAGGGAGGGGAAAAGACAUAGGGACAGACAUACUAGGAAAAGAGACCUAAAGCUUGGGAGUAGAAAGGAGACUGAGAGGUGAGAACUGAAGUCAUCAGUACUUAAAUAAUAAAGGGGGUGGGGUGGACAGGAAACAGCUCACUUGGGGUAGUGUGCAGUUUUGCCAUGUGUUCAACAGAGGUUCGAGCCCAGUUCCCAUUGCACUGAAGGAAGCUUUGGUGCUGGGGGCUCUCUCUCUCUCGUUCCUUCUCUCAAAAACAAAGUAAAAUAAAAUAAUGGAAGCAUGAAGCAGUGUGUAUGGGUGAAGCCUUGGACUCACAAGCAUGAGGUCGGAAGUCCCAUCCCUGGAAUCACAUGUGCCAGAGUAGUGCUCUACUUCUGUCUCCUCCUCUCUUUCAUUAACCAAUUAAUUGAUUUAAGGGGGGGGGGAGACCAGAAGGGGGUGUAGUGGAGAUACUAUUGGGCUCUCAAGCACAAGGUCUGAAGUUCCAUCCCCAGUACUCUAUAUGCCAAAGUGAUGCACUGGCUCUUUCCAUCAUAAGUAAAUAAAAGCUUUUUUUUUUUUUCCCUCCAGAGUUUUUGCUGAUGCUGGCUCUAGAAUCCACAGCUCCCCGCAGAGUUUUUGGGUUCCCCCCCACUUUCUUUCUAUUUUAUUUGGUAGGACAGAGAGAAACAAGAGGAGAGAUAGACACCUACAACCUGCUUCACUACUCCUGAAGGGUCCCUGCUGCAGGUGGGGAGCAGGAGCUUGAACCUUGGGUACACCAUCGUCCAACCGUUAAAUAAAAACUUUUAAGGGCCUAAUGGUUAUGCAAAAAGACGUUCAUGCUUAGGCAGCAACAGUCUCAGGUUCAAUCCUCAACACUACCAUAAGCCAGAGCUGAGCGGUGCUCUGGUCUCCUGUCUCUCCCUCUCCCUCUGUGUGUGUGUUUCUGCAUUACCUCUCACUAAAAGUUGAAAAUAUUUUUACUAUA